This 22-nucleotide microRNA is filed under the name Rattus norvegicus (Norway rat). RNAcentral describes it as "rno-miR-466d". Its record names the gene rno-miR-466d. The record is from miRBase by way of RNAcentral. Lineage: Eukaryota; Metazoa; Chordata; Mammalia; Rodentia; Muridae.
AUGUGUGUGUAUGUCCUUUUGU